Solanum lycopersicum (tomato) is the source of this 2263-nucleotide long non-coding RNA. RefSeq lists it as uncharacterized. The record is from RefSeq and is marked validated. NCBI's taxonomy places the organism in Eukaryota, Viridiplantae, Streptophyta, Magnoliopsida, Solanales, Solanaceae.
AAGCCAGCCUUCUUUUGUAGAAUAUUUUAAAUUCAUUGAACAUACAGAUAUUUUUUUCUCUCUCCUCCUCCUCCUCCUCCUCCUCCAUUGUUCUACCAAAUCACUGUAUGUAAUGGGGAUACAUUCUUUGCUUGGCUAUCUGUCUCUUUUCUUCAACUUUGUCUUCUCUCUCCCAUCACAUUGUUCUACUAAAUUACAUGCAUUCUUAACGUACCGUCGAUCUUUUCUGAAUUUUUUGUUUCAUGUCAUGUUAACAAUUCUUCUUCUUUCUGGGCUUGUUUUGGAAUCUUUUUGGCGAUGCAAGUUGUUUUUCAAUAGAUCAAGAAAAUAGUAGUAAUUGAUUCUUUUGUUCUUAUAGCUAUUUGUCCGUUUCUCUUUAAUAUGAAACUCAUAGCUUUUUAAUGAUUCUUAAUUGCUAUGUAGCUUUAUUAGUUGUUUUUUCUUCUUCUUUCCGUAUGACUAUACCUAGGUUAUUAGAUUUUCUCUUUGUGAAUUUUUUACGCACUUGUGUUUUUGAUAUGCUUUACUUAAGCGAGGGUCUAUCGGCUGAGAACCAAGGUGUAUUUUGAAAUUUAAUGUGCUUUGGAGGUAUUUUAGGCAGUCGUUCGAUACAUUUCAUUCUUGUUCUCGAUACUGUGGUGUGAUGGCUAUUGAUUCUCUUGCUAAUUCAAGUUGAACUAAAAAAAACUUAAAGGAGAUGAAACAUGUUUCCACCUUUUUCUUUAAUAACCCUUCUACAAUCUUGAACUUCGAAUUUUCUUGAACAUUCAAUUUUUUUUAAUUUUCUGAAUUUCUUGAUACAUGUCAUGUUAAUAAUCUUUUUCUUUAUGGCUGUCUUGAUUUUUUCUUUUUUGGUGAUGCUAGUUGUUCUUCAAUAGAUCAAUGUAGUUGUAAUUGGUUUUGAUUCUUUUGUUCAUAUAGCUGCUUGUCCGGUUUCUUUAAUAUGAAAUUCACUGCUUUAUCUUGAAUAGCUUUUUAAUGAUUCUUAAUUGCUAUGGAGCUUUAUUAGUUGUGUUUUUUCUUUUCUUUCGUAUGACUACAUAGGUUACUAGAUAAUCUGAUUAUGAAAUUUAUCACACGCUUGUUUUCUUGAUAUACUUUACUUGCGCCGAGGAUCCAUCUGGAAUAGCCUCUCCACCUUUACAAGGUAGGGAUAAGGCUGAGACUCCAAUUGUGGGAUUAUACGGUGUAUUUUGUUGUUGUUAAUGAAAUUUAGUGUACUUAGGAGGAGGUAUUUUAGGCGGUGGUUCAAUACAUUGCAUUCUCGUGCUUGAUACUGCGGUGGCUAUUAAUUUGCUAAUUCAUGUUGAACCAAAAAUUUAUUGUCCCACGUUCCACAUCAUGGUAUUAAUGCUUGAUCAGAUUUGUUAGAUCUUUGGUGCUGAGUCCAGAAAGUUCUUCACCCAAAAGCUGCCUGUGGUUCAUAAAAAAAGAAACACAUGGAAGAAGACAUUGCAAUUUCCCAAUUUCAAAUCUUGGGUGUCAUUUCCUUAAUAAUUCUUGGAUUUGAAUUAAUCGCUCUCAUAUCCAUGUCAAGGAGAUAUAUACCAACUGGAAGUUUCGAGGAAUUGACAAAUUUGGCAUAUACAAACUAAAACCUGGUAUAGGGCAUUGUCCAAUCUCAGGUGUUCCUUUGAUAUUCCCAGUCCACUCUUGCGACCAAAGAAAGAACACAAUGAAGUAGGUUAAGGUCAGCUAAAGGAUUUGAUGGGGCUAAGGAUGGUUCCAAAAAGAGCAGCUACUUUAGAUGAACGCUACUGUGGUUGCACUAUUUAUUUGCAUGCAUGAAAUUGACAUACGUGUAUCCUGUUCGCUCGAGCCAUGAUAAAGAUGGGUGAAUUCGAUAUCAAAGGGAUGAAAAGAAGCUGAUAGCAUAAUACAUGAGUAGGUUGGCCAAGAAUAACCUUGAUGAUCAAGAGAACUUUACUGACCAUCCCUAAAUCCCAACGAAAGCCUUCUACCGGGGCUUUGCUGGGAAAACCUGCUUAAAAAAAUGGACAUGUGUGAAGACCAAGAGCGGUUAUUCACUUUUCUUCUUCCUUAGUCUAAGCAAUCAAUUUGUGAGAUAAAUUAAUUCUCCAUUUGUAGUUAGAUUUUUGCGUUUGUAUAACCUUUUUUUUCGAGUUCUACCUUGAAAGGAAACCUACAAUGAGAUUGUACCCGAAUAGAGAUGGUGGUCUUACUCUGGCCCAUAAUAGAAUAGCUAGGUGAAGCAGUCAAUCGAUCUUAUAUAUAAGAAGAACAAAAGAUCUUUCUUGAUCAA